GUCCAGGUCGCCUAACGGUAGGGUAUUGGUCUGCUUGCACCGACUGUGCGAGUUCAAUUCUCGCCCUGGACUCCA
This 75-nucleotide transfer RNA is filed under the name Nostoc parmelioides FACHB-3921. RNAcentral's name for it is "tRNA-Ser". It matches the Rfam family "tRNA". From Rfam's summary of the family: Transfer RNA (tRNA) molecules are approximately 80 nucleotides in length. Their secondary structure includes four short double-helical elements and three loops (D, anti-codon, and T loops). Further hydrogen bonds mediate the characteristic L-shaped molecular structure. tRNAs have two regions of fundamental functional importance: the anti-codon, which is responsible for specific mRNA codon recognition, and the 3' end, to which the tRNAs corresponding amino acid is attached (by aminoacyl-tRNA synthetases). tRNAs cope with the degeneracy of the genetic code in two manners: having more than one tRNA (with a specific anti-codon) for a particular amino acid; and 'wobble' base-pairing, i.e. permitting non-standard base-pairing at the 3rd anti-codon position. Lineage: Bacteria; Bacillati; Cyanobacteriota; Cyanophyceae; Nostocales; Nostocaceae. The record is from RNAcentral.